This 334-nucleotide unclassified non-coding RNA is filed under the name soil metagenome. RNAcentral describes it as "partial contains 5.8S ribosomal RNA, internal transcribed spacer 2, and large subunit ribosomal RNA". The stretch from base 1 to 120 matches the Rfam family "5.8S ribosomal RNA", at positions 35 to 154 of the family's 154-position model. The record is from RNAcentral.
GAUGAAGAACGUAGCGAAAUGCGAUAAGUAGUGUGAAUUGCAGAAUUCAGUGAAUCAUCGAAUCUUUGAACGCACAUUGCGCCCCUUGGUAUUCCAUGGGGCAUGCCUGUUCGAGCGUCAUUUAUACCUUCAAGCUUUGCUUGGUGUUGGGUGUUUGUCCAUUCUCUUGCAGAGGGACUCGCCUUAAAGUAAUUGGCAGCCAGUGUUUUGGUUUUGAAGCGCAGCACAAGUCGCGAUUCAACGCUAUACGCCAGCUUCCACAAGCCUUUUUCACUUUUGACCUCGGAUCAGGUAGGGAUACCCGCUGAACUUAAGCAUAUCAAUAAGCGGAGGA